UGACAAUAGAUGGCGUUAUAGCCUCGAG
This 28-nucleotide small RNA is filed under the name Bombyx mori (domestic silkworm). RNAcentral's name for it is "ovarian small RNA-31319". The record is from RNAcentral. Lineage: Eukaryota; Metazoa; Arthropoda; Insecta; Lepidoptera; Bombycidae.